This 256-nucleotide ribosomal RNA is filed under the name uncultured bacterium. RNAcentral's name for it is "partial 16S ribosomal RNA". It matches the Rfam family "Bacterial small subunit ribosomal RNA", at positions 521 to 776 of the family's 1533-position model. The record is from RNAcentral.
UAAUACGGAGGGUGCAAGCGUUAUCCGGAUUCACUGGGUUUAAAGGGUGCGUAGGCGGAUUAGAAAGUCCGUUGUGAAAUCUCUGAGCUUAACUCGGAAAUUGCGGUGGAUACUAUUAGUCUUGAAUACUGUGGAGGUUAGCGGAAUAUGUCAUGUAGCGGUGAAAUGCAUAGAUAUGACAUAGAACACCAAUUGCGAAGGCAGCUGGCUACACAGAUAUUGACGCUGAGGCACGAAAGCGUGGGGAUCAAACAGG